AUUUUAGGACUUUUUUUUUUGCAUUCGGUCCCCUCAAAAACAUUAUUUUCAUAAAUAGUCGCACCAAAUUUAUAAUUGCAAUUUUGGCUCUAUCCACGCCACGUAGGCACCACACGAGCAGAGGUGAAGGGUGUGGAAAAAAUUGAAUGCGAUAAUCCAUUCAACGUAUUUAGACGCGGUGAAUAGUUCACCGUGUUUAAUAUAUUAUAUUACUUGAGUGCGGGGUGAAUAUAACCACUAAAUACGGUAAACUAUUUACCGUGUUCAAACACGGUGAAUGGUUCACCGUGUUCAACUUACUACACAGUCUCCACCUUGCUCGCAUGGCACUGACGUGGCGCUUGCAUAGUAAGAGUAGGACAAAUUGCAAGUAUGAAAUUGAUGGGGCUAUUUGUAAAAAAAAAAAACUUUUUGUCACGCCCCGGAUUACACGUUCCCCGGGCACGCCGACAAAUCCGCCGUAUACAAAGAAAUUUUUUCUGUAUACGAAGCGACAGCUGUACCUGUAAAUCAAACACUACUACGAACAGUAGUAGAGAGCUGUUAGAGAAAACAGAAGCUAAACAAACAGAGUUUCAUAUACAUAGUUCAAAAUCAAAAUACAGAGCUACUCGCACUAGCGAGUUAAGUCAACUAUGUACAUAAACUCGAAACAAAACAUCUACCUGCAGUAGGGGCACCUCUAGCUCAGCACGUCGGGUAGGGCUCUAACUCGCGACGCCCUUGCCUCGAUCCUGGUCCGCGGACGGUGCAGCAGCCGGAACCUGUGGCUCUGCAAAAACAUAGGUAACAACUGGGCGUGAGAACUACUGUAAAAACAAGUAGUCCUCAGUGGGUACCGCCCAAAACAACAUCGGUCACCCACUAAGUCUACAGAAGGGAGCAAGAAUAGUAGGAAAAGCAGGAAGUAAACUCUACCGCUAUCAAUCACUACACUAUCAUGCUCUACACUAACCAACUGUAGGAAAUGUCAAAUCUGACCCAAUCCAAUCGGGACUGUAAGCAUACCCGUCCCCGGGACUGUGAAUACACCCGUCCCUGCCCCGUUGCGACUAUCAGGCUCUAUCCACACUAACUGGUCCGUGGAGAGCAAGUCCAACUGGCAUGAGCGACACCAACGCGAAAGCACAAGCCUGACUCCGGAGUGGCACUCGUGGGCGCUACCCAACCGAGUAUGCAGCGUAUCUCUGUCGAGCUCAAACAGGCUCUGAAAAGCCAAAGUCAAGAAAUCGACUCUAACUGGUCUAACAACCAACAAGUAACGUGCCCUCAGCACAAUCUGACGCCAAAAAGGCGAUACGGGUCCACCGUCACUCUGACGGCACCCCACAGUCCGGAACAACCUGAACAACACUGUAAAAAUCCACUCGGCAUACCAGCACGAGCGUAAAUGUAUACUAAACCACCUGGAGUACUCGUCUCGAGGAUACUGCGACAGUACAAUUUAAUAACGGCUCCUAGAGCUAAAUCAGGCAGUUUAAUCAAGUGACAGGUCCAAAUCGCAAGUUUUCUCCUAAUUCAAUUCCCAAGUCCAACAUGUAUAACCUAUUCAAUUUAUUACCACAUGCUCCAAAUUCAGAUAUGCAAUCUACCAUUUAAUCCAUGAAUUCGAGCUAGAAUAGAUUAUUCAAAAAUUGAAAACUAUACAUGUCGACGAUUAGAACUUAGGAGUCAAAGCCGAUGUAACCCACCUCAAAUGCUAAUCACAAUCCGGCGCAACAACAAAAACGGCGGAAUUGGACCCUCGCCCGGCCCCCCUCGCGAUGCUACGACGACGAACAUACGCUCGAACGGCACCGCGGCGCGACGUCGACGAAACUCCACACCACCCGAGCUCCUCCUCUACGUACGGCUCAAGAACUAUAUAUAGACAAUGCACAGGUAUCAAGAUGAUAAGCAUGCUUGGGGGUAAGGUGCACGUGGCAUCCUUAUCCCCAGCUAGCUUACCAACUCAAAAGAAAUAAAAAGAAAAAGGAAAAGAAAAGAUAAAGAAAUAAGGAUACUACAUCCUCCUCCACUACAAAAAGUUUCGUCCUCGAAAUUUAAAACAUACCUCAAGACGGGACAACGAACAAGUCGGGGUAGGACUCCCUCAUCACUGUCUCAGGCUCCCAAGUCACCUCCCGCUCCUCGUGAUUGCUCCACUGCACUUUCACAUACGGGAUGACCCGGUUGCGCAAUUCCUUCGUCUCGCGAGCAAGAAUCCGCACCGGUCGCUCCUCGUAUCUCAAAUCCUCGCCAAUCUCUAGUGGAGUGAAGUCAAUCACGUGAGAAGGAUCGAAAACAUAUCUUCUCAGAGCCGAGACGUGGAACACAUCAUGAAUCCCAGCUAGUCGGGGUGGUAGAGCAAUCCGGUAAGCAACUGGUCCAACACGCUCCAAUACCUCGAAAGGGCCAACGAAACGUGGACUAAGCUUUCCACGCACUCCAAAUCGGCGAAUCCCUCUGGACGGCGAGACUUUGAGGAAAACAUGAUCUCCAACCUGAAACUCUAAGUCUCGUCUCUUGGUAUCGGCGUAGCUCCUCUGGCGGCUGUGAGCUGUCAAAAGGUGUCGUCGAACGACUCUCACCUUUUCCUCAGCCUCAAGUAAGAUUUUCGGUCCAAGUGUCCUCCGCUCACCCACAUCGCUCCAAAACAGGGGGGAUCGACAUCUGCGUCCAUACAAUGCCUCAAACGGAGCCAUCUGAAUGCUCGUUUGAUAGCUGUAGUUGUACGCAAACUCAACCAGUCUCACAUGUCGAUACCACCCUCCUCCAAAAUCCAGGACGCAUGCCCUUAGCAUGUCCUCUAGAGUCUGUAUGGUCCGCUCUGACUGACCAUCUGUCUGUGGGUGGAACGCCGUGCUAAAAUGCAGCUGUGUACCCAAGGCUGUCUGCAAACUCCUCCAGAAAUGUGAUACAAACCUCGGGUCUCUGUCAGAUAUAAUCGACACUGGUACGCCAUGCAGCCUAACGAUCUCAUCCAAGUAUAGCUGCGCGAGUCUCUCCCUGGACCAGGUAGUCUGAACCGGUAGGAAGUGAGCAGACUUGGUCAGUCUGUCCACUAUCACCCAAAUCGCGUCGUAGCCACCCUGCGCUCUAGGCAAUCCAACGACGAAGUCCAUAGUGAUGUACUCCCACUUCCACUCGGGCACUGGCAGACUUUGAAGCUUGCCAGCAGGCAUCUGAUGCUCGGCCUUAACCUGUUGGCAAGUCAAACACUGAGCCACAUAUCUGCCAAUGUCCCUCUUCAUUCCAGGCCACCAGAACCGUGCCUUAAUAUCUUUAUAUAUCUUGGUUCCCCCAGGGUGAACUGUAUAAGGAGAACAAUGAGCCUCUCUCAGAAUAUCCGCUCGAAUCUCAGGAUCCACAGGCAUACACAGUCGGUCCCUGUACCUAAGUACUCCCGCACUGUCCAAAGCAAAUCUCCCAUCCUGCCCCCUGUCUAGCCGCUCUCUAAUCCUCAACAAAUACGGAUCUCCACUCUGUUUCUCGCGGAUCCUAUCCAAUAGAGUGGGCUGCAACACAAGAGAUGUCAGCCUCGCCGUAGACCCAGGGGGUACUAUCUCGAGUCCCAGCCGCUGUAGCUCCUCGAGUAGGGGCCUCUGCUCAGUAAUCCUCAAACUUAGGCUCUGCACUGACUUCCUGCUCAACGCAUCUGCCACCACAUUUACCCUGCCAGGAUGAUACUGAAUACUAAUAUCAUAGUCCUUCAGUAACUCCAACCACCGGCGCUGCCUCAGGUUCAGCUCUCUCUGUGUGAACAGAUACUUGAGACUUUUAUGAUCGGUGAAGACCUCGCAGUGCUCGCCGUACAAGAAAUGCCGCAAAAGCUUCAAAGCAAAAAUCACCGCGGCAAGCUCCAAGUCAUGCGUAGGGUAAUUCUUUUCAUAAUCCUUUAAUUGCCGUGAAGCAUAAGCAAUCACCCUACCAUGCUGCAUCAGCACGCAACCAAGUCCACUGUGCGAUGCAUCACUGUAGAUCACAAAUCCAUCCCCCAUCACCGGAAGGGGAAGGAUAGGAGCUGACGUCAACCUCAGUCUCAACUCGUCAAAGCUCCUCUGACAGUCAUCGCUCCAAACAAAACGAAUCCCCUUCCGCGUCAAGCCUGUGAGGGGUGUGGAAAGCUUCGCAAAGCCUUCCACAAACCGAUGGUAAUAUCCUGCCAGUCCCAGGAAGCUCCGUACCUCAGUCACCGUCGUCGGUCUAGGCCAAUCUCGAAUUGCCUCAAUUUUCUUCGGGUCAACAGCUACUCCCUCUGCUGAUAUCACGUGGCCCAAGAAAGCAACCUCCCGUAGCCAGAACUCGCACUUCUUUAACUUGGCAUACAACUUCUUCUCUCACAGAAGCUGUAACACAGUCCUCAAGUGCUCCUCAUGCUCGGCAUCACUCCGGGAGUAAAUCAGGAUAUCAUCGAUGAAGACUACCACAAACCUAUCCAAGAACGGCUUGAACACUCUGUUCAUCAAAUCCAUAAAUGCGGCAGGGACAUUCGUCAAUCCAAAAGGCAUCACCGUGAACUCAUAAUGCCCGUACCGAGUCCGGAAAGCCGUCUUGGGAACAUCCUCGGCCCUCACCCUCAGCUGGUGGUAACCUGACUGGAGAUCAAUCUUCGAGAAAACAUAAGAUCCCUGCAGCUGAUCAAACAAAUCAUCAAUGCGCGGCAAGGGAUACUUAUUCUUGAUGGUCACUUUAUUCAGCUCCCGGUAAUCAACACAUAACCUGAGCGAACCAUCCUUCUUCUUUACAAACAAUACCAGCGCUCCCCAAGGCGACACACUGGGUCUCACAAACGCUCUAUCCAUCAAAUCCUGAAGCUGUGCCUUUAGCUCUCUCAGCUCUGCCGGCGCCAUCCGAUAAGUUACCUUUGCGAUUGGUGCAGUUCCAGGAACUACAUCAAUCACAAAUUCAAUCUCCCUCUCCGGCGGCAACGUCGUCAACUCAGGGGGAAAUACAUCCGGAAACUCGCGGACUACUGGAAUGUCCUCAAGUCCCGGCGCCGCCGUAGGUACCUCCACAACUGUCACUAAGAAAGCAAUACACCCGCUACUCAGCAUCUGUCGAGCCCUCGCCGAAGAGAUCCAGGUGGCAAACAACGUACUCCUGCAGCCUCUGAAAGCGAACUCCUCCUGGCCUGGCUCGCGGAACGUCACCGUCCUCGCUCCACAAUCAAUCGUAGCAUAGUAGUCCUCAGUGGGUACCGCCCAAAACCACAUCGGUCCACCCACUAAGUCUACAGAAGGGAGCAAGAGUAAUCAGAAAAGCAGGAAAUAAACUCUACCGCUAUCGAUCACUACACUAUCAUGCUCUACACUAACCAACUGUAGGAAAUGUCAACUCUGACCCAAUCAACUCGGGACUGUAAGCAUACCCGUCCCCGGGACUGUGAAUACACCCGUCCCUGCCCCGUUGCGACUAUCAAGCUCUAUCCACACUAACUGGUCCGUGGAGAGCAAGUCCAACUGGCAUGAGCGACACCAACGCGAAAGCACAAAGCCUGACUCCGGAGUGGCACUCGUGGGCGCUACCCAACCGAGUAUGCAGCGUAUCUCUGUCGAGCUCAAACAGGCUCUGAAAAGCCAAAGUCAAGAAAUCGACUCUAACUGGUCUAACAACCAACAAGUAACGUGCCCUCACCACAAUCUGACGCCAAAAAGGCGAUACGGGUCCACCGUCACUCUGACGGCACCCCACAGUCCGGAACAACCUGAACAACACUGUAAAAAUCCACUCGGCAUACCAGCACGAGCGUAAAUGUAUACUAAACCACCUGGAGUACUCGUCUCGAGGAUACUGCGACAGUACAAUUUAAUAACGGCUCCUAGAGCUAAAUCAGGCAGUUUAAUCAAGUGACAGGUCCAAAUCGCAGGUUUUCUCCUAAUUCAAUUUCCAAGUCCAACAUGUAUAACCUAUUCAAUUUAUUACCACAUGCUCCAAAUUCAGAUAUGCAAUCUACCAUUUAAUCCAUGAAUUCGAGCUAGAAUAGAUUAUCCAAAAAUUGAAAACUAUACAUGUCGACGAUUAGAACUUAGGAGUCAAAGCCGAUGUAACCCACCUCAAAUGCUAAUCACAAUCCGGCGCAACAACAAAAACGGCGGAAUUGGACCCUCGCCCGGCCCCCUCGCGAUGCUACGACGACGAACAUACGCUCGAACGGCACCGCGGCGCGACGUCGACGAAACUCCACACCACCCGAGCUCCUCCUCUACGUACGGCUCAAGAACUAUAUAUAGACAAUGCACAG
Molecule: long non-coding RNA, 6223 nt
Filed under: Ananas comosus (pineapple)
Lineage: Eukaryota; Viridiplantae; Streptophyta; Magnoliopsida; Poales; Bromeliaceae
Description: long non-coding RNA (ACOM_LNC018354)
Source: RNAcentral